Molecule: small RNA, 55 nt
Filed under: unclassified sequences
Description: NAD+-I sequence
Rfam family: nadA riboswitch
Source: Rfam by way of RNAcentral
GCUUUCAACAUCCCCGCCCGCGACAGGACAGGAUGACCGUUGCAGGGCUGAAGGC